GUAUCCUUCAAAGACAUCCGAUAAAAUUGGAAUGAUAUGCAGAAGAUUAGCAUAGCCCCUGCAAAAGGAAGACGUACAAAUCGAGAUUUGGUAAAUUACA
RNAcentral lists this small nuclear RNA (100 nucleotides) under Ipomoea nil (Japanese morning glory). Lineage: Eukaryota; Viridiplantae; Streptophyta; Magnoliopsida; Solanales; Convolvulaceae. The record is from RNAcentral.